GACGAACGCUGGCGGCGUGCCUAAUACAUGCAAGUAGAACGCACAGUUUAUACCGUAGCUUGCUACACCAUAGACUGUGAGUUGCGAACGGGUGAGUAACGCGUAGGUAACCUGCCUGGUAGCGGGGGAUAACUAUUGGAAACGAUCGCUAAUACCGCAUAAUAUUCAUUAUUGCAUGAUAAUUAAUUGAAAGGUGCAAUUGCACCACUACAAGAUGGACCUGCGUUGUAUUAGCUAGUAGGUGAGGUAACGGCUCACCUAGGCGACGAUACAUAGCCGACCUGGGAGGGGGAUCGGCCCCACUGGGACUGGGACACGGCCCAGACCCCUACGGGGGGCAGCAGGAGGGAAUCUUCGGCAAUGGACGAAAGUCUGACCGGGCAACGCCGCGUGAGUGAAGAAGGUUUUCGGAUCGUAAAGCUUUGUUGUAAGGGAAGAACGGGUGUGGGAGUGGAAAGUGCACACUGUGACGGUACCUUACCAGAAAGGGACGGCUAACUACGUG
RNAcentral lists this ribosomal RNA (505 nucleotides) under uncultured bacterium. RNAcentral describes it as "partial 16S ribosomal RNA". It matches the Rfam family "Bacterial small subunit ribosomal RNA", at positions 28 to 507 of the family's 1533-position model. The record is from RNAcentral.